UAGAUGCGAGAGUAGAGCAUAUCAAUAAGCGGAGGAAAAGAAACUAACAAGGAUUCCCUUAGUAACGGCGAGUGAAGCGGGAAGAGCUCAAAUUUGAAAUCUUCAAGGUUCUACCUUGACGAAUUGUAGUUUAUAGGAAGUGUUUUCUGUUAGUAGAGUGGCAAAAGUUCUUUGGAAUAGGACAUCAUAGAGGGUGAGAAUCCCGUAUUUGGUCAUCCCUUCUAGCUUUGUGAUACACUUUCAACGAGUCGGAUUGUUUGGGAAUGCAGUCCAAAAUGGGUGGUAAAUUUCAUCUAAAGCUAAAUAUUGGCGAGAGACCGAUAGCGAACAAGUACCGUGAGGGAAAGAUGAAAAGAACUUUGAAAAGAGAGUUAAACAGUACGUGAAAUUGUCAAAAGGGAAGCGUUUGACACCAGUGUUGUUUUUCCGAAAAUCAAUUACGAAUGUUUUAUUUUUGAGAAGUUAUGACUUCAUCGGCUUGCUUCUUUCUUUACUGAAACUUUCUUAAUGCACUUCUCGGUUAACAAGUCAACAUCAAUUUCUUUUGUUGUAAAAGGGUAUGAGGAAGGUGGCUUUCUUUUCGGAGAAAGUGUUUAUAGCCUUGUGCCUCUGCAAUCGGAGAGAUUGAGGUCUGCAGCGUAGAUCCUUCGGGGUUAGAUACAGUUUGUGCUAAGUUAUAGCUUUUCAUAGACAACUUGUUGACUAUGUUUAGUCUUGUAGCUUACUCGCUUAUGCUAUUUUACCUACGCUUAGGAUGUUGACGAGACUGUCGAUCUC
Molecule: ribosomal RNA, 777 nt
Filed under: uncultured Neocallimastigales
Lineage: Eukaryota; Fungi; Neocallimastigomycota; Neocallimastigomycetes; Neocallimastigales
Description: partial large subunit ribosomal RNA
Rfam family: Eukaryotic large subunit ribosomal RNA
Source: RNAcentral